RNAcentral lists this ribosomal RNA (401 nucleotides) under uncultured bacterium. RNAcentral describes it as "bacterial SSU rRNA". It matches the Rfam family "Bacterial small subunit ribosomal RNA", at positions 917 to 1322 of the family's 1533-position model. The record is from RNAcentral.
GGGCCCGCACAAGCGGUGGAGCAUGUGGUUUAAUUCGAUGAUACGCGAGGAACCUUACCAGGGCUUAAAUGCAGAGCGACAGAGGUGGAAACACCUCCUUCUUCGGACGGUCUGCAAGGUGCUGCAUGGUUGUCGUCAGCUCGUGCUGUGAAGUGUCGGGUUAAGUCCCAUAACGAGCGCAACCCCUAUUUCUAGUUGCCAGCGGUUCGGCCGGGGACUCUAGAGAAACUGCCAGCGUAAGCUGUGAGGAAGGUGGGGAUGACGUCAAAUCAUCACGGCCCUUACGUCCUGGGCCACACACGUGCUACAAUGGUAAGGACAGAGAGUUGCCAACCCGCGAGGGUGAGCUAAUCUUUAAACCUUAUCUCAGUUCGGAUCGGAGUCUGCAACUCGACUCCGUG